RNAcentral lists this ribosomal RNA (2902 nucleotides) under Escherichia coli. RNAcentral's name for it is "bacterial LSU rRNA". It matches the Rfam family "Bacterial large subunit ribosomal RNA". Lineage: Bacteria; Pseudomonadati; Pseudomonadota; Gammaproteobacteria; Enterobacterales; Enterobacteriaceae. The record is from RNAcentral.
UUAAGCGACUAAGCGUACACGGUGGAUGCCCUGGCAGUCAGAGGCGAUGAAGGACGUGCUAAUCUGCGAUAAGCGUCGGUAAGGUGAUAUGAACCGUUAUAACCGGCGAUUUCCGAAUGGGGAAACCCAGUGUGUUUCGUCACACUAUCAUUAACUGAAUCCAUAGGUUAAUGAGGCGAACCGGGGGAACUGAAACAUCUAAGUACCCCGAGGAAAAGAAAUCAACCGAGAUUCCCCCAGUAGCGGCGAGCGAACGGGGAGCAGCCCAGAGCCUGAAUCAGUAUGUGUGUUAGUGGAAGCGUCUGGAAAGGCGCGCGAUACAGGGUGACAGCCCCGUACACAAAAAUGCACAUGCUGUGAGCUCGAUGAGUAGGGCGGGACACGUGGUAUCCUGUCUGAAUAUGGGGGGACCAUCCUCCAAGGCUAAAUACUCCUGACUGACCGAUAGUGAACCAGUACCGUGAGGGAAAGGCGAAAAGAACCCCGGCGAGGGGAGUGAAAAAGAACCUGAAACCGUGUACGUACAAGCAGUGGGAGCACGCUUAGGCGUGUGACUGCGUACCUUUUGUAUAAUGGGUCAGCGACUUAUAUUCUGUAGCAAGGUUAACCGAAUAGGGGAGCCGAAGGGAAACCGAGUCUUAACUGGGCGUUAAGUUGCAGGGUAUAGACCCGAAACCCGGUGAUCUAGCCAUGGGCAGGUUGAAGGUUGGGUAACACUAACUGGAGGACCGAACCGACUAAUGUUGAAAAAUUAGCGGAUGACUUGUGGCUGGGGGUGAAAGGCCAAUCAAACCGGGAGAUAGCUGGUUCUCCCCGAAAGCUAUUUAGGUAGCGCCUCGUGAAUUCAUCUCCGGGGGUAGAGCACUGUUUCGGCAAGGGGGUCAUCCCGACUUACCAACCCGAUGCAAACUGCGAAUACCGGAGAAUGUUAUCACGGGAGACACACGGCGGGUGCUAACGUCCGUCGUGAAGAGGGAAACAACCCAGACCGCCAGCUAAGGUCCCAAAGUCAUGGUUAAGUGGGAAACGAUGUGGGAAGGCCCAGACAGCCAGGAUGUUGGCUUAGAAGCAGCCAUCAUUUAAAGAAAGCGUAAUAGCUCACUGGUCGAGUCGGCCUGCGCGGAAGAUGUAACGGGGCUAAACCAUGCACCGAAGCUGCGGCAGCGACGCUGAUGCGUUGUUGGGUAGGGGAGCGUUCUGUAAGCCUGCGAAGGUGUGCUGUGAGGCAUGCUGGAGGUAUCAGAAGUGCGAAUGCUGACAUAAGUAACGAUAAAGCGGGUGAAAAGCCCGCUCGCCGGAAGACCAAGGGUUCCUGUCCAACGUUAAUCGGGGCAGGGUGAGUCGACCCCUAAGGCGAGGCCGAAAGGCGUAGUCGAUGGGAAACAGGUUAAUAUUCCUGUACUUGGUGUUACUGCGAAGGGGGGACGGAGAAGGCUAUGUUGGCCGGGCGACGGUUGUCCCGGUUUAAGCGUGUAGGCUGGUUUUCCAGGCAAAUCCGGAAAAUCAAGGCUGAGGCGUGAUGACGAGGCACUACGGUGCUGAAGCAACAAAUGCCCUGCUUCCAGGAAAAGCCUCUAAGCAUCAGGUAACAUCAAAUCGUACCCCAAACCGACACAGGUGGUCAGGUAGAGAAUACCAAGGCGCUUGAGAGAACUCGGGUGAAGGAACUAGGCAAAAUGGUGCCGUAACUUCGGGAGAAGGCACGCUGAUAUGUAGGUGAAGUCCCUCGCGGAUGGAGCUGAAAUCAGUCGAAGAUACCAGCUGGCUGCAACUGUUUAUUAAAAACACAGCACUGUGCAAACACGAAAGUGGACGUAUACGGUGUGACGCCUGCCCGGUGCCGGAAGGUUAAUUGAUGGGGUCAGCGCAAGCGAAGCUCUUGAUCGAAGCCCCGGUAAACGGCGGCCGUAACUAUAACGGUCCUAAGGUAGCGAAAUUCCUUGUCGGGUAAGUUCCGACCUGCACGAAUGGCGUAAUGAUGGCCAGGCUGUCUCCACCCGAGACUCAGUGAAAUUGAACUCGCUGUGAAGAUGCAGUGUACCCGCGGCAAGACGGAAAGACCCCGUGAACCUUUACUAUAGCUUGACACUGAACAUUGAGCCUUGAUGUGUAGGAUAGGUGGGAGGCUUUGAAGUGUGGACGCCAGUCUGCAUGGAGCCGACCUUGAAAUACCACCCUUUAAUGUUUGAUGUUCUAACGUUGACCCGUAAUCCGGGUUGCGGACAGUGUCUGGUGGGUAGUUUGACUGGGGCGGUCUCCUCCUAAAGAGUAACGGAGGAGCACGAAGGUUGGCUAAUCCUGGUCGGACAUCAGGAGGUUAGUGCAAUGGCAUAAGCCAGCUUGACUGCGAGCGUGACGGCGCGAGCAGGUGCGAAAGCAGGUCAUAGUGAUCCGGUGGUUCUGAAUGGAAGGGCCAUCGCUCAACGGAUAAAAGGUACUCCGGGGAUAACAGGCUGAUACCGCCCAAGAGUUCAUAUCGACGGCGGUGUUUGGCACCUCGAUGUCGGCUCAUCACAUCCUGGGGCUGAAGUAGGUCCCAAGGGUAUGGCUGUUCGCCAUUUAAAGUGGUACGCGAGCUGGGUUUAGAACGUCGUGAGACAGUUCGGUCCCUAUCUGCCGUGGGCGCUGGAGAACUGAGGGGGGCUGCUCCUAGUACGAGAGGACCGGAGUGGACGCAUCACUGGUGUUCGGGUUGUCAUGCCAAUGGCACUGCCCGGUAGCUAAAUGCGGAAGAGAUAAGUGCUGAAAGCAUCUAAGCACGAAACUUGCCCCGAGAUGAGUUCUCCCUGACUCCUUGAGAGUCCUGAAGGAACGUUGAAGACGACGACGUUGAUAGGCCGGAUGUGUAAGCGCAGCGAUGCGUUGAGCUAACCGGUACUAAUGAACCGUGAGGCUUAACCUU